GCGCUCGCUUUGGCAGUAUAUAUCUUAAAAUUGGAAUGAUCCAGAGAAGAUCAGCAUGGCCCCUGAACAAGGAUGACUUGCAAAUUCAUGAAGCAUUCUGUAUUUUA
Molecule: small nuclear RNA, 107 nt
Organism: Lepus europaeus (European hare)
Lineage: Eukaryota; Metazoa; Chordata; Mammalia; Lagomorpha; Leporidae
Source: RefSeq, a predicted model, not a curated record